Molecule: non-coding RNA, 87 nt
Organism: Pelobates cultripes (western spadefoot toad)
Lineage: Eukaryota; Metazoa; Chordata; Amphibia; Anura; Pelobatidae
Source: the annotation of a GenBank genome assembly
CAGCUCAAGGUCGCAGGGGUCGUGGCUGCGGCCGGGCCCCCAUGCAGUGAGAGACCUGGUUGCAGCCACGACCCCUGCGACCGUGGU